RNAcentral lists this ribosomal RNA (332 nucleotides) under uncultured Arenimonas sp. RNAcentral's name for it is "bacterial SSU rRNA". It matches the Rfam family "Bacterial small subunit ribosomal RNA", at positions 568 to 898 of the family's 1533-position model. Lineage: Bacteria; Pseudomonadati; Pseudomonadota; Gammaproteobacteria; Lysobacterales; Lysobacteraceae. The record is from RNAcentral.
UGCGUAGGUGGUUCGUUAAGUCUGUCGUGAAAUCCCCGGGCUCAACCUGGGAAUGGCGAUGGAUACUGGCGAGCUAGAGUGAGGUAGAGGAGAGUGGAAUUCCCGGUGUAGCAGUGAAAUGCGUAGAGAUCGGGAGGAACAUCAGUUGCGAAGGCGGCUCUCUGGACCAUCACUGACACUGAGGCACGAAAGCGUGGGGAGCAAACAGGAUUAGAUACCCUGGUAGUCCACGCCCUAAACGAUGCGAACUGGACGUUGGGCUCAAUUAGGAGCUCAGUGUCGAAGCUAACGCGUUAAGUUCGCCGCCUGGGGAGUACGGUCGCAAGACUGAA